RNAcentral lists this small nucleolar RNA (99 nucleotides) under Oryza longistaminata (longstamen rice). Its description in RNAcentral is "snoRNA snoR24". It matches the Rfam family "Small nucleolar RNA R24". Rfam says of the family: snoR24 is a C/D box small nucleolar RNA which acts as a methylation guide for 18S ribosomal RNA in plants. Lineage: Eukaryota; Viridiplantae; Streptophyta; Magnoliopsida; Poales; Poaceae. The record is from RNAcentral.
ACUGUUGUGAUGAGCCUUAAAAUCUCAUAUUGGCUUCAGCCCAGAGAUUGCUUUGAUUUUUCUAUGCAAUACUCCUGUUAGGCUUGGCUUCUGAGCAGC